Non-coding RNA from Acanthosepion pharaonis, 97 nucleotides. The record is from the annotation of a GenBank genome assembly. NCBI's taxonomy places the organism in Eukaryota, Metazoa, Mollusca, Cephalopoda, Sepiida, Sepiidae.
CAUUGAAACACCAGUUCUCAUACAAUCACUGAAGUUAAGCAAUGUUGAGCCUAGUCAGUAACUAGAUGGAUGACUGCUUGGGAAUAGCAAGUUUUGU